RNAcentral lists this ribosomal RNA (249 nucleotides) under Diversispora epigaea. The record is from RNAcentral. Lineage: Eukaryota; Fungi; Glomeromycota; Glomeromycetes; Diversisporales; Diversisporaceae.
CAGUCGCGUUUGCCGGGACUCAGCCUUGCUUCUGCUUGGUGCACUUCUCGGUAGAUGGGUCAGCAUCGACUUUGGGUGACGGAAAAUGGCGGGAGGAAUGUGGCAGCUUGUCUGUGUUAUAGCCUCUUGCCGUACACGGUGCUUGGGAUCGAGGACUGCAGCACGCCUUUUGGCGGGGUUCUCCCACGCCACGUGCUUAGGAUGCUGGCUAAUGGCUUUAAACGACCCGUUUGAAACACGGACCAAGGA